AAAGAAAGCGUAAUAGCUCACUGGUCGAGUCGGCCUGCGCGGAAGAUGUAACGGGGCUAAACCAUGCACCGAAGCUGCGGCAGCGACGCUGAUGCGUUGUUGGGUAGGGGAGCGUUCUGUAAGCCUGUGAAGGUGUGUCGUGAGGCAUGCUGGAGGUAUCAGAAGUGCGAAUGCUGACAUAAGUAACGAUAAAGCGGGUGAAAAGCCCGCUCGCCGGAAGACCAA
This 225-nucleotide ribosomal RNA is filed under the name Salmonella enterica. RNAcentral's name for it is "partial 23S ribosomal RNA". It matches the Rfam family "Bacterial large subunit ribosomal RNA", at positions 1125 to 1348 of the family's 2925-position model. The record is from RNAcentral. RNAcentral also lists the same sequence under 28 other names. Lineage: Bacteria; Pseudomonadati; Pseudomonadota; Gammaproteobacteria; Enterobacterales; Enterobacteriaceae.